RNAcentral lists this ribosomal RNA (505 nucleotides) under uncultured bacterium. Its description in RNAcentral is "bacterial SSU rRNA". It matches the Rfam family "Bacterial small subunit ribosomal RNA", at positions 29 to 524 of the family's 1533-position model. The record is from RNAcentral.
AGUGAACGCUGGCGGCAGGCCUAAUACAUGCAAGUCGAACGGCAGCACAGCAGAGCUUGCUCUGUGGGUGGCGAGUGGCGGACGGGUGAGGAAUACGUGGGAAUCUGCCCAGUCGUGGGGGAUAACGUAGGGAAACUUACGCUAAUACCGCAUGCGCCCUUCGGGGAAAGCCGGGGACCUUCGGGCCUGGCGCGAUUGGAUGAGCCCACGUCGGAUUAACUAGUUGGCGGGGUAAAGGCCCACCAAGGCGACGAUCCGUAGCUGGUCUGAGAGGAUGAUCAGCCACACUGGAACUGAGACACGGUCCAGACUCCUACGGGAGGCAGCAGUAGGGAAUAUUGGACAAUGGGCGCAAGCCUGAUCCAGCCAUGCCGCGUGAGUGAAGAAGGCCCUCGGGUUGUAAAGCUCUUUUGUCCGGAAAGAAAGCGCCGGGUUAAUACCCUGGUGUCCUGACGGUACCGGAAGAAUAAGCACCGGCUAACUUCGUGCCAGCAGCCGCGGUAAU